CACGUAGGCGGACUUUUAAGUCAGGGGUGAAAUCCCGGGGCUCAACCCCGGAACUGCCUUUGAUACUGGGUGUCUUGAGUGUGAUAGAGGUAUGUGGAACUCCGAGUGUAGAGGUGAAAUUCGUAGAUAUUCGGAAGAACACCAGUGGCGAAGGCGACAUACUGGAUCAUUACUGACGCUGAGGCUCGAAAGCGUGGGGAGCAAACAGGAUUAGAUACCCCAGUA
RNAcentral lists this ribosomal RNA (225 nucleotides) under uncultured Brevundimonas sp. Its description in RNAcentral is "partial 16S ribosomal RNA". It matches the Rfam family "Bacterial small subunit ribosomal RNA", at positions 568 to 792 of the family's 1533-position model. Lineage: Bacteria; Pseudomonadati; Pseudomonadota; Alphaproteobacteria; Caulobacterales; Caulobacteraceae. The record is from RNAcentral.